UGGGGAAUAUUGGACAAUGGGCGAAAGCCUGAUCCAGCCAUGCCGCGUGUGUGAAGAAGGUCUUCGGAUUGUAAAGCACUUUAAGUUGGGAGGAAGGGCAUUAACCUAAUACGUUAGUGUUUUGACGUUACCGACAGAAUAAGCACCGGCUAACUCUGUGCCAGCAGCCGCGGUAAUACAGAGGGUGCAAGCGUUAAUCGGAAUUACUGGGCGUAAAGCGCGCGUAGGUGGUUUGUUAAGUUGGAUGUGAAAUCCCCGGGCUCAACCUGGGAACUGCAUUCAAAACUGACUGACUAGAGUAUGGUAGAGGGUGGUGGAAUUUCCUGUGUAGCGGCGAAAUGCGUAGAUAGAGGAAGGAGCACCAGGGGCGAAGGCGACCACCUGGACUAAUACUGACACUGAGGUGCGAAGGCGUGGGGAGCAAACA
Molecule: ribosomal RNA, 427 nt
Filed under: uncultured bacterium
Lineage: Bacteria
Description: partial 16S ribosomal RNA
Rfam family: Bacterial small subunit ribosomal RNA
Source: RNAcentral